Molecule: transfer RNA, 76 nt
Filed under: Veillonella sp.
Lineage: Bacteria; Bacillati; Bacillota; Negativicutes; Veillonellales; Veillonellaceae
Description: tRNA-Glu
Rfam family: tRNA
About the family: Transfer RNA (tRNA) molecules are approximately 80 nucleotides in length. Their secondary structure includes four short double-helical elements and three loops (D, anti-codon, and T loops). Further hydrogen bonds mediate the characteristic L-shaped molecular structure. tRNAs have two regions of fundamental functional importance: the anti-codon, which is responsible for specific mRNA codon recognition, and the 3' end, to which the tRNAs corresponding amino acid is attached (by aminoacyl-tRNA synthetases). tRNAs cope with the degeneracy of the genetic code in two manners: having more than one tRNA (with a specific anti-codon) for a particular amino acid; and 'wobble' base-pairing, i.e. permitting non-standard base-pairing at the 3rd anti-codon position.
Source: RNAcentral
GGCCCGUUAGUCAAGUGGUUAAGACAUCGCUCUUUCACAGCGAGUACGGUGGGUUCAAUUCCCCCACGGGUCACCA